RNAcentral lists this non-coding RNA (184 nucleotides) under Lachnospiraceae bacterium. RNAcentral's name for it is "6S RNA". It matches the Rfam family "6S / SsrS RNA". Rfam says of the family: E. coli 6S RNA was the first non coding RNA to be sequenced, but its function was unknown until recently. Lineage: Bacteria; Bacillati; Bacillota; Clostridia; Lachnospirales; Lachnospiraceae. The record is from RNAcentral.
UACUUACUGGGGCGUUCGUGUCCACACAAUUUGAACCUACAAAUAUGACAUACGGGUUCCCAAUAUUUGUGAUAAAGAUAGCAUGCCUUCCGUCCGCGGUUAAGGAUCCUUGAGGUAUCCGUGAGGUUACCCACCUGGCUUAAUGCUAGGAGUCAAACGUGUGGUACGGCGUUUUGGUAAGUUG